GUCUUUAUGGAAUAAAUAUAAAGUUUGGCCUGCUCACUGAAAUUUUAAAAGCCGCAGUAUAUUGACUGUGCGAAGGUAGCAUAAUAAUUUGUCUUUUAAAUGGGGUCUGGAAUGAAAGGUUGGAUGAGAGAAUAACUUUAUUUUGGUGGGGAUUGAAAUUUAUUUUUUAGUGAAAAAUCUAAAAUAAGAUUGUUAGACAAGAAGACCCUAUUAAGUUUGACUGGGAACUUAUUUGAAAUAAUAACAUAAGGAGUAGGGAGGAAGUUUUAUUGGGGCAAUAAAAAUAGAAUAAGUUAAUUGGAAGAAAAUUUUUGGUGCGACCCAGCAUGGGUUGAUUAUUAGAGUAAAUUACUAUAGGGAUAACAGCAUAAUCUUUUUUGAGAGUUCUUAUUAAAAAUAAGGAUUAUGACCUCGAUGUUGAAUUAGAGUAGUAUCUUGUGAAGAAGAAAGGUAGUUAGAGUUUGUUCAACUUUUAGUUUCUACA
Molecule: ribosomal RNA, 484 nt
Filed under: Hanseniella n. sp. GG-2000
Lineage: Eukaryota; Metazoa; Arthropoda; Symphyla; Scutigerellidae
Description: partial 16S ribosomal RNA
Source: RNAcentral